CCAACAGUGGACUGAUUUAAUUGUCCCGAUUGAUUCUGAUAGUCAUCAAAACAAGUCGGGGCCGGAUUGCAACCACGUAAAAAAGUGCUAAAACCAUGCUU
Regulatory RNA element from Mucilaginibacter mallensis, 101 nucleotides. Lineage: Bacteria; Pseudomonadati; Bacteroidota; Sphingobacteriia; Sphingobacteriales; Sphingobacteriaceae. The record is from Rfam.